GUUGUGUUUUAUGUACUAUUGUUUGUAUGUUGGUCAUUUCCCUUUAGCCAUGGCGUUGUCAGUUUUAAUUUAUGAGUUUGAAUGUCCCUCUGAUAUCUGUCUUCCCUCUUUCAAAAUAUUAGAGGAUAACAAAGGGACAUUCAAACAUUAAUUCCUGUUAUUUGGCUCUCUUAGUGUGUUGUUCCUAUUUGUCCAUGAAAUAUCUAGAAUUUG
RNAcentral lists this long non-coding RNA (213 nucleotides) under Mytilus galloprovincialis (Mediterranean mussel). The record is from RNAcentral. Lineage: Eukaryota; Metazoa; Mollusca; Bivalvia; Mytilida; Mytilidae.